UCUCAGUUCGGAUUGCAGGCUGCAACCCGCCUGCAUGAAGUUGGAAUUGCUAGUAAUCGCGGAUCAGCAUGCCGCGGUGAAUACGUUCCCUGGCCUUGUACACACCGCCCGUCACACCAUGGGAGCCGGUAAUACCCGAAGUCCGUAGUCUAACCGCGAAGGGGGCGCGGCCGAAGGUGGGUCCGGUAAUUGGGGUGAAGUCGUAACAAGGUAGC
RNAcentral lists this ribosomal RNA (215 nucleotides) under uncultured bacterium. RNAcentral's name for it is "partial 16S ribosomal RNA". It matches the Rfam family "Bacterial small subunit ribosomal RNA", at positions 1286 to 1500 of the family's 1533-position model. The record is from RNAcentral.